Molecule: long non-coding RNA, 544 nt
Organism: Drosophila miranda
Lineage: Eukaryota; Metazoa; Arthropoda; Insecta; Diptera; Drosophilidae
Exons: 3
Source: RefSeq, a predicted model, not a curated record
UGCGAAGAUAUCGAUAGGUGAUACCCCAUAGAAGCGGUGAGGAGGAAAGAAGUUUGAACAGAGUGGCAAGGCCAAAAUUUAAGGGGAAAAGGUUAGCGAAGAGUGGCGCCACCUGGUCCUGGAGAGUGAGAGUUCCGCGCGCUCUCCGGAGCCGUUAUAAGAGAAGAUUUCCGAUCUCAUCCCAUAACGGAGUCCCGAAGCCAACUCACCCAUACCCCAAAGAAAAGAGAGCCGCCAGCAGCCCGAAUCAGGCCAUGCCCUUGAACCUAGUUCAAGGGCGAUAGAAGAGAGAGCGAUGGGGAUCAGCGGCCCGGGAGCAUUAAACAGAGCAGCUAAGCCAAGAGGGGGUUCAGAGAAAGAAAUUCCCGCAACGGAGGAGCAUGCGCACCGGGCAUAGUGAUCUAGUGAUUUUUUUUGUUCUGAAAGAAAAAGGGAUCCAGAUCAGUGAGAGACCAGGAACCAGGACUAGCGGGACGGGAAAGAGACCCAAGAAGCAUAAGAGGAAUAGGUCACAGCUCCGCCAUCCUGGCUUGCUUUUUGCUGG